RNAcentral lists this ribosomal RNA (500 nucleotides) under uncultured bacterium. RNAcentral's name for it is "partial 16S ribosomal RNA". It matches the Rfam family "Bacterial small subunit ribosomal RNA", at positions 29 to 523 of the family's 1533-position model. The record is from RNAcentral.
AUUGAACGCUGGCGGAGUGCUUUACACAUGCAAGUCGAACGGCAGCACGGGGGCAACCCUGGUGGCGAGUGGCGAAAGGGUGCGGAAUACAUCGGAACGUGCCCAGUCGUGGGGGACAGCCCGGAGAAAGCCGGAUUAAUACCGCAUACGACCUGACGGUGAAAGGGGGGGACGGCACGGCCUCGCGCCAUUGGAGCGGCCGAUGUCAGAUGAGCUAGUUGGUGGGCUAAAGGCCCACCAAGGCGACGAUCUGUAGCUGGUCUGAGAGGAUGACCAGCCACACUGGGACUGAGACACGGCCCAGACUCCUACGGGAGGCAGCAGUGGGGAAUUUUGGACAAUGGGCGCAAGCCUGAUCCAGCCAUGCCGCGUGCGGGAAGAAGGCCUUCGGGUUGUAAACCGCUUUUGUCAGGGAAGAAACGCUUCGAGCUAAUACCUUGGAGUAAUGACGGUACCUGAAGAAUAAGCACCGGCUAACUACGUGCCAGCAGCCGCAGUAA